RNAcentral lists this ribosomal RNA (490 nucleotides) under uncultured bacterium. Its description in RNAcentral is "partial 16S ribosomal RNA". It matches the Rfam family "Bacterial small subunit ribosomal RNA", at positions 30 to 507 of the family's 1533-position model. The record is from RNAcentral.
AUUGAACGCUGGCGGCAGGCUUAACACAUGCAAGUCGAGCGGUAGCACAGGGGAGCUUGCUCCCUGGGUGACGAGCGGUGGACGGGUGAGUAAUGUCUGGGAAACUGCCUGAUGGAGGGGGAUAACUACUGGAAACGGUAGCUAAUACCGCAUAACGUCGCAAGACCAAAGAGGGGGACCUUCGGGCCUCUUGCCAUCAGAUGUGCCCAGAUGGGAUUAGCUAGUAGGUGGGGUAAUGGCUCACCUAGGCGACGAUCCCUAGCUGGUCUGAGAGGAUGACCAGCCACACUGGAACUGAGACACGGUCCAGACUCCUACGGGAGGCAGCAGUGGGGAAUAUUGCACAAUGGGCGCAAGCCUGAUGCAGCCAUGCCGCGUGUGUGAAGAAGGCCUUCGGGUUGUAAAGCACUUUCAGCGAGGAGGAAGGUGGUGAGCUUAAUACGUUCAUCAAUUGACGUUACUCGCAGAAGAAGCACCGGCUAACUCCGUG